Non-coding RNA from Podarcis lilfordi (Lilford's wall lizard), 206 nucleotides. The record is from the annotation of a GenBank genome assembly. Lineage: Eukaryota; Metazoa; Chordata; Lepidosauria; Squamata; Lacertidae.
AAACUCUGGUGGAAUUAAAUUUGGUUUUUGAAUUGUUUAAUGCUGGUUAUUAUUACUAUGCACUUUUGAAAAUGUCUUGAUAUUGUGAUAUGUGACUUGUUGCUGUGUGUGUGUGUGUGUGUGUGUGUGUGUAAACAGCUCUGAGCAGGAUAUACCAUAUUUCUCGCUCUAUAAGAUGCACCAGACCACAAGACGCACCUAGUUUU